GACGAAGGGGGCUAGCGUUGUUCGGAAUUACUGGGCGUAAAGCGCGUGUAGGCGGUUGUUCAAGUCAGGUGUGAAAGCCUUGAGCUCAACUCAAGAAAUGCACUUGAUACUGGAUGACUAGAGGACCGGAGAGGAUAGUGGAAUUCCCAGUGUAGUGGUGAAAUACGUAGAGAUUGGGAAGAACACCAGUGGCGAAGGCGGCUAUCUGGACGGUUUCUGACGCUAAGGCACGAAAGCGUGGGGAGCAAACAGG
This 253-nucleotide ribosomal RNA is filed under the name uncultured bacterium. RNAcentral describes it as "partial 16S ribosomal RNA". It matches the Rfam family "Bacterial small subunit ribosomal RNA", at positions 524 to 776 of the family's 1533-position model. The record is from RNAcentral.